UACGUAGGUCCCGAGCGUUAUCCGGAUUUAUUGGGCGUAAGGCGAGCGCAGGCGGUUGGAUAAGUCUGAAGUUAAAGGCUGUGGCUUAACCAUAGUAUGCUUUGGAAACUGUUCAACUUGAGUGCAGAAGGGGAGAGUGGAAUUCCAUGUGUAGCGGUGGAAUGCGUAGAUAUACGGAGGAACACCGGUGGCGAAAGCGGCUCUCUGGUCUGUAACUGACGCUGAGGCUCGAAAGCGUGGGUAGCGAACAGG
This 252-nucleotide ribosomal RNA is filed under the name uncultured bacterium. RNAcentral describes it as "partial 16S ribosomal RNA". It matches the Rfam family "Bacterial small subunit ribosomal RNA", at positions 524 to 776 of the family's 1533-position model. The record is from RNAcentral.